Molecule: long non-coding RNA, 1772 nt
Organism: Oncorhynchus gorbuscha (pink salmon)
Lineage: Eukaryota; Metazoa; Chordata; Actinopteri; Salmoniformes; Salmonidae
Exons: 3
Source: RefSeq, a predicted model, not a curated record
ACGUACACACAACAAUGUGCACACACGUCUGGCUCUAACACCAAUAUAUCCUCCUUACUUCCUCUAGUCCUCAAUCCCUCAGUUCUUCUUCCUGAUAAUAGGCUCGACUGUCUGACCAAGGGACCCCACAUCAGUUGGAACUGAAAGAACAACCCAGACCCUUGGAACACAUACGGUCCACACUAUCAGUACAAGUUGGUGGCCGUCAAUAUGGACUACAAGGCUCUGAAGAAGGAGGGCCCUGACUUCUAAAGGUCCUUCAGGCAACUCCAGGAGCACCAAGUUUGGCAGGACCUCCUGUCAUCCUAGUGGCAGGGUCGGGGCAGCCUGAGCCUCGGUCGGGUCCUCUGUCUGUCCCCUCUGCUGUCUCUUCAGAAUGCACACCAUUUCAUAUUAACUGUCUUUUCCCUGCACUAACCUACAGUUAUAGAAGCAAUUGUCUGCAUGUGCACAGCAAAUACUGUUAUUAUAACCUACCUGUCUCUCAGACACCACCCUACAGUAUAAAUCUCUUCAUGCAUAAAAACCCUAAAGAGAUGUCAUGUAACAGGCUCUUUCACAACCCUACAGUUAUUGUAACCUGUCUCUUCACGACGCACAACAGCACUGUUAUAGAUCUGUCUCUUUAUUUUCAUGCACAGCAACCCUAAAGUGAUGUAUCCUUCUUCAUGCACAGCAACCCUAAAGUGAUGUAUCCUUCUUCAUGCACAGCAACCCUAAAGUGAUGUAUCCUUCUUCAUGCACAGCAACCCUAAAGUGAUGUAUCCUUCUUCAUGCACAGCAACCCUAAAGUCAUGUAUCCUUCUUCAUGCACAGCAACCCUAAAGUGAUGUAUCCUUCUUCAUGCACAGCAACCCUAAAGUGAUGUAUCCUUCUUCAUGCACAGCAACCCUAAAGUGAUGUAUCCUUCUUCAUGCACAGCAACCCUAAAGUAAUGUAUCCUUCUUCAUGCACAACCCUGAUGUUCCAUAACUGUCUCUUAACGCUACAUUGAAAACAACACUAUUAAACAUCAGUCAAAGAAGUCUGGUUACGUUGAUUUACAUGGUCUGUGUAUAUACUGUACAAUCAUGCCUACAUGUGUUGAGUAGAGUUUGAAGGGUGUAGUGGAAGAGAAUAGGAGUUGAGUAGAUUUAGAAUUGAUCAGAAAUGAUUAAGUGAAAAGCAGUUUAUUUUGAUAACAUUGGAAUCACCAGUGUACAAACAUUUGACUUCACAAAUAAAUCAGCCGAACAGAAAACAUUUCAUGCUGUGAAAUACAGCUGAUGAGCACUAAAAUUGUAACAACAAAAAACUAGUUCAAUUAACGUGUGUUUUAAGGAAUUUCAACAUAAAAAUAAUGAAACGUGGUGACAUUGAAUCAACGAGAAAAUUGUCAUUAACGUAAGGUAACUUAGCCUUUUUUUCACACAACUUUGAGCUUUUAAUCAAGUGGCAUGGUGAAAUGUUUUGUUGAUUUCACAUUGAAUUCACGUUAGUAGACAACUCAACCAAAUGUAAAUCGAAACUAGAUGUUUAACUGACGUCUGUGCCCAGUGGGAAGUGUUGAGGCAGCUCAAUUAGACAAUUUGAGUAGACAAAAAACACAUUGUGAACUGAUUGGUCUUCCUGACCACCACCGGAGGUAGUCGAAGAUGCGUCUUCUACGGAUAUCCUUGAAGUCUCAACCAGGGCAGCCGAGCGGAAAUGGAGGAAAACUCGCCUCCCUGCGGACCUGGCAUCCUUUCGCUUCCUCCUCUCUACAUUUUCCUCUUCUGUCUCUGCUGCUAAAG